Drosophila ananassae is the source of this 204-nucleotide long non-coding RNA. RefSeq lists it as uncharacterized. The record is from RefSeq and is a predicted model, not a curated record. Lineage: Eukaryota; Metazoa; Arthropoda; Insecta; Diptera; Drosophilidae. The transcript has 2 exons.
GGCCUCAUAGCCUAGUGGUUAGUGUACUAGCUCGCUAAGCGUGAGGUCGUAGGUUCGAGCACCACUCGUGUCAAGUGCAUGGCCCUGCAAGUUUUUCGGCGCUCGCGCAUAUGAUGUGGCAGCCCCACUUCUGAGAUAGGUUGCACUCGGCUAAUCACCGGAUCGACUGAACAAUAACGAUUACAGAAACAAACACAAGAUCAG